GUGCUUACUUCAGCUGCCCACAUAUUAAAAUUAGAACAAUGCUGAGAAGAUUAGCAUGUUUCCUGUGAUAGGAUGACAUGCAAACUUGUGAAAUGUUUUUUUAUGUU
Eptesicus fuscus (big brown bat) is the source of this 107-nucleotide small nuclear RNA. NCBI's taxonomy places the organism in Eukaryota, Metazoa, Chordata, Mammalia, Chiroptera, Vespertilionidae. The record is from RefSeq and is a predicted model, not a curated record.